RNAcentral lists this ribosomal RNA (497 nucleotides) under uncultured bacterium. RNAcentral describes it as "partial 16S ribosomal RNA". It matches the Rfam family "Bacterial small subunit ribosomal RNA", at positions 28 to 507 of the family's 1533-position model. The record is from RNAcentral.
GAUGAACGCUGGCGGCGUGCCUAAUACAUGCAAGUCGAGCGAACAGACGAGGAGCUUGCUCCUCUGACGUUAGCGGCGGACGGGUGAGUAACACGUGGAUAACCUACCUAUAAGACUGGGAUAACUUCGGGAAACCGGAGCUAAUACCGGAUAAUAUAUUGAACCGCAUGGUUCAAUAGUGAAAGACGGUUUUGCUGUCACUUAUAGAUGGAUCCGCGCCGCAUUAGCUAGUUGGUAGGGUAACGGCUUACCAAGGCAACGAUGCGUAGCCGACCUGAGAGGGUGAUCGGCCACCCUGGAACUGAGACACGGUCCAGACUCCUACGGGAGGCAGCAGUAGGGAAUCUUCCGCAAUGGGCGAAAGCCUGACGGAGCAACGCCGCGUGAGUGAUGAAGGUCUUCGGAUCGUAAAACUCUGUUAUUAGGGAAGAACAAAUGUGUAAGUAACUAUGCACGUCUUGACGGUACCUAAUCAGAAAGCCACGGCUAACUACGUG